Transfer RNA from Colletotrichum sublineola, 88 nucleotides. It matches the Rfam family "tRNA". From Rfam's summary of the family: Transfer RNA (tRNA) molecules are approximately 80 nucleotides in length. Their secondary structure includes four short double-helical elements and three loops (D, anti-codon, and T loops). The record is from Rfam. Lineage: Eukaryota; Fungi; Ascomycota; Sordariomycetes; Glomerellales; Glomerellaceae.
UCCGAUAUGGUGUAGUGGCCAACAUGAUGCCCUCUCAAGUUCUUUGGGAGGUUAGGCAUAGCCCCGAGUUCGAUUCUCGGUUUCGGAA